Molecule: ribosomal RNA, 441 nt
Filed under: uncultured bacterium
Lineage: Bacteria
Description: partial 16S ribosomal RNA
Rfam family: Bacterial small subunit ribosomal RNA
Source: RNAcentral
CCUACGGGCGGCAGCAGUGGGGAAUAUUGGGCAAUGGGCGCAAGCCUGACCCAGCAACGCCGCGUGAAGGAAGAAGGCUUUCGGGUUGUAAACUUCUUUUAAGAGGGAAGAGCAGAAGACGGUACCUCUUGAAUUAGCCACGGCCAACUACGUGCCAGCAGCCGCGGUAAUACGUAGGUGGCAAGCGUUGUCCGGAUUUACUGGGUGUAAAGGGUGCGGAGGCGGGUUACCAAGUCAGCGGUAAAAUCGUGGAGCUCAACUCCAUCCAGCCGUUGAAACUGAGGAUCUUGAGUGGGCGAGAAGUAUGCGGAAUGCGUGGUGUAGCGGUGAAAUGCAUAGAUAUCACGCAGAACUCCGAUUGCGAAGGCAGCAUACCGGCGCCCGACUGACGCUGAAGCACGAAAGCGUGGGUAUCGAACAGGAUUAGAUACCCGGGUAGUC